ACUCCUACGGGAGGCAGCAGUGGGGAAUAUUGCACAAUGGGCGCAAGCCUGAUGCAGCAACGCCGCGUGAGCGAUGAAGGCCUCGGUCGUAAAGCUCUGUCCUCAAGGAAGAAUAAAUGACGGUACUUGAGGAGGAAGCCCGGCUAACUACGUGCCAGCAGCCGCGGUAAUACGUAGGGGGCAAGCGUUAUCCGGAAUCACUGGGGCGUAAAGGGGUGCGUAGGCGGUUUUUCAAGUCAGAAGUGAAAGGCUAUGGCUCAACCAUAGUAAGCUUUUGAAACUGUUAAACUUGAGUGCAGGAGAGGAAAGUGGAAUUCCUAGUGUAGAGGUGAAAUUCGUAGAUAUUAGGAGGAACACCAGUGGCGAAGGCGACUUUCUGGACUGUAACUGACGCUGAGGCACGAAAGCGUGGGG
RNAcentral lists this ribosomal RNA (414 nucleotides) under uncultured bacterium. RNAcentral's name for it is "bacterial SSU rRNA". It matches the Rfam family "Bacterial small subunit ribosomal RNA", at positions 335 to 766 of the family's 1533-position model. The record is from RNAcentral.